GGGGGCGCUUGGAAUCGACGGGGAGCUGUAGAGACAAGAGUAGCGAGCCGAGUUCUCCGCCAGACUCGUUAAACGGGCGGAACGGCUACAAAUGCCGACUACGAUUACGCUUUAGCUGCUUAAGAGAUAAGUAGCUCGUCCGCUUCGGGCUUGUCGAUGGCUUGAAGAUCGGGCGUCAUGAGAAUCGACUACCGCUGUCCUGGCUCUCGGCGGGACUAGCGGGAAACCAAACCGGGAUAGUUGGCUCGACAGUUUGCCUAGCGUCGGUCGAGACAACGAAACUGUAAACGUUAGGCUGCGCUCGGAGAAGCUCUUGUUUGUACCUCUUCGGACGUGGGUUCGACUCCCACCGCCUCCACCA
Molecule: transfer-messenger RNA, 361 nt
Filed under: bacterium
Lineage: Bacteria
Also listed under: 1 other name
Description: JAAYHC01 sp012735535 Standard tmRNA
Rfam family: transfer-messenger RNA
About the family: Bacterial tmRNA, also known as 10Sa RNA or SsrA, is named for its dual tRNA and mRNA-like properties. Its role is to liberate the mRNA from a stalled ribosome.
Source: RNAcentral